UGGGGAAUAUUGCACAAUGGGCGAAAGCCUGAUGCAGCGACGCCGCGUGAGGGAUGACGGCCUUCGGGUUGUAAACCUCUUUCAGCAGGGACGAAGCGAAAGUGACGGUACCUGCAGAAGAAGCACCGGCCAACUACGUGCCAGCAGCCGCGGUAAUACGUAGGGUGCAAGCGUUGUCCGGAAUUAUUGGGCGUAAAGAGCUCGUAGGCGGUUUGUCGCGUCGGCUGUGAAAACCUAGGGCUCAACUCUGGGCUUGCAGCCGAUACGGGCAAACUAGAAUUCGGUAGGGGAGACUGGAAUUCCUGGUGUAGCGGUGAAAUGCGCAGAUAUCAGGAGGAACACCGGUGGCGAAGGCGGGUCUCUGGGCCGAUAUUGACGCUGAGGAGCGAAAGCGUGGGGAGCAAACA
RNAcentral lists this ribosomal RNA (407 nucleotides) under uncultured Jatrophihabitans sp. Its description in RNAcentral is "bacterial SSU rRNA". It matches the Rfam family "Bacterial small subunit ribosomal RNA", at positions 355 to 774 of the family's 1533-position model. Lineage: Bacteria; Bacillati; Actinomycetota; Actinomycetes; Jatrophihabitantales; Jatrophihabitantaceae. The record is from RNAcentral.